UACGUAGGGGGCAAGCGUUGUCCGGAUUUAUUGGGCGUAAAGAGCGUGUAGGCGGCCAAACAGGUCAGCUGUGAAAACUCGAGGCUCAACCUCGAGACGUCGGUUGAAACCGUUUGGCUAGAGUCCGGAAGAGGAGAGUGGAAUUCCCGGUGUAGCGGUGAAAUGCGCAGAUAUCGGGAAGAACACCUAUGGCGAAGGCAGCUCUCUGGGACGGUACUGACGCUGAGACGCGAAAGCGUGGGGAGCGAACAGG
RNAcentral lists this ribosomal RNA (253 nucleotides) under uncultured bacterium. RNAcentral describes it as "partial 16S ribosomal RNA". It matches the Rfam family "Bacterial small subunit ribosomal RNA", at positions 524 to 776 of the family's 1533-position model. The record is from RNAcentral.